RNAcentral lists this ribosomal RNA (773 nucleotides) under uncultured Neocallimastigales. RNAcentral's name for it is "partial large subunit ribosomal RNA". It matches the Rfam family "Eukaryotic large subunit ribosomal RNA", at positions 24 to 635 of the family's 3401-position model. Lineage: Eukaryota; Fungi; Neocallimastigomycota; Neocallimastigomycetes; Neocallimastigales. The record is from RNAcentral.
GUAGUCUCGCACAGAUGCAUAUCAAUAAGCGGAGGAAAAGAAACUAACAAGGAUUCCCUUAGUAACGGCGAGUGAAGCGGGAAGAGCUCAAAUUUGAAAUCUUCAAGGUUUUACCUUGACGAAUUGUAGUUUAAAGAAGUGUUUUCUGUUGAAGUUUUGGUAAAAGUUCUUUGGAAUAGGACAUCAUAGAGGGUGAGAAUCCCGUAUUUGACCAUUAUUUUCAGCUGUGUGAUACACUUUCAAAGAGUCGGAUUGUUUGGGAAUGCAGUCCAAAAUGGGUGGUAAAUUUCAUCUAAAGCUAAAUAUUGGCGAGAGACCGAUAGCGAACAAGUACCGUGAGGGAAAGAUGAAAAGAACUUUGAAAAGAGAGUUAAACAGUACGUGAAAUUGUCAAAAGGGAAGCGUUUGACACCAGUGUUGUUUUCUCGAAAAUCAAUUAAAAAGAGUUAGAUUUUGUUGUGUAUUGACCUUAACAGCUUGCAUUUCAAUUUUCUUGCUUUUUUUAAUGCACUUUUCGUUUAACAAGUCAACAUCAGUUUCUUUUGUUGUAAAAAGGUCAUUGGAAGGUGGCUUUCUUUUCGGAGAAAGUGUUUAUAGCCUUUGACUCCUGCAAUCGGAGAGACUGAGGUCUGCAGCGUAGAUCCUUCGGGGUUAGAUACAUUUGUGCUAAGUUAUAGCUUUUUAUAGACAACUUGUUGACUAUGAUUAGUCUUGUAGCUUACUCGCUUAUGCUAUUUUACCUACGCUUAGGAUGUUGAAGAUGUAGCAAUCAU